This 253-nucleotide ribosomal RNA is filed under the name uncultured bacterium. Its description in RNAcentral is "partial 16S ribosomal RNA". It matches the Rfam family "Bacterial small subunit ribosomal RNA", at positions 524 to 776 of the family's 1533-position model. The record is from RNAcentral.
UACAGAGGUGGCAAGCGUUGUUCGGAAUUACUGGGCGUAAAGGGCGCGUAGGCGGCCAUCUAAGUCAGACGUGAAAUCCCCCGGCUUAACCUGGGAACUGCGUCUGAUACUGGACGGCUUGAGUGCGGGAGAGGGUUGUGGAAUUCCAGGUGUAGCGGUGAAAUGCUUAGAUAUCGUCAAGAACACCUAUAGCGAAGGCAGCUUACUAAGCUUUAACUGACACUGAUGCACGAAAGUGUGGGGAUCAAACAGG